RNAcentral lists this ribosomal RNA (486 nucleotides) under Triticum aestivum (bread wheat). RNAcentral describes it as "partial small subunit ribosomal RNA". Lineage: Eukaryota; Viridiplantae; Streptophyta; Magnoliopsida; Poales; Poaceae. The record is from RNAcentral.
AUGCCCACCAUCUCUAGUGUCCGGCUAAAGAAGUGGGUACACCCAGAAGUUGAAUGGGUGAAAAUGAAUGUCGAUGCUGCAAUCCCACGUAAUCAGGACAGGGUAGCCUUUGCGGCAAUUUGUCGAGAUCAUACGGGGUUGUUUUUGGGCGCCUCAGCUGUAACAGUGGAUGAUCUGUUCGAUCCAGAAACACUUGAAGCAAUGACACGCAACGAAGGUCUGUUAUUGGCACUCGAGGUCGGUGUACAAAAGCGAAGCGACGGGAAACUUUGUGGUGGUGGUGAGAGCGAGGCCGAGUCAGUUAGGUGGUCGGCCCACUUGGCGGCUGGGUGCCUUAAAAAGGAAGGGGGUAUGGCUAUGGCGCUGCGCACCAUGGCCGCCAAGCUGAAGCAGAAGAUCCCCGCCGCUGUCCAGCGGGUUCGCGUCUCUUCUCGUGCUCCGGUUCGUUCCCCAUCUCGAUUUUCUCGCCCCCUUCCGAGUCUUUGA